UACGGGAGGCAGCAGUGGGGAAUAUUGCACAAUGGGCGAAAGCCUGAUGCAGCUAUGCCGCGUGUAUGAAGAAGGCCUUAGGGUUGUAAAGUACUUUCAUCGGGGAGGAAAAACAAAACUAAUAAUUUUAUUUCUUGACGUUACCCGAAAAAGAAGCACCGGCUAACUCCGUGCCAGCAGCCGCGGUAAUACGGAGGGUGCUAGCGUUAAUCAGAAUUACUGGGCGUAAAGAGCACGUAGGUGGUUUUUUUAAGUCAGAUGUGAAAUCCCUGGGCUUAACCUAGGAACUGCAUUUUGAAACUGAAAUACUAGAGUAUCGUAGAGGGAGGUAGAAUUCCAGGUGUAGCGGUGAAAUGCGUAGAUAUCUGGAGGAAUACCUGUGGCGAAAGCGGCCUCCUAAACGAAUACUGACACUGAGGUGCGAAAGCGUGGGGAGCAAACAGGGAUUAGAUACC
This 455-nucleotide ribosomal RNA is filed under the name uncultured bacterium. Its description in RNAcentral is "bacterial SSU rRNA". It matches the Rfam family "Bacterial small subunit ribosomal RNA", at positions 340 to 786 of the family's 1533-position model. The record is from RNAcentral.